UGGGGAAUAUUGCGCAAUGGGGGGAACCCUGACGCAGCAACGCCGCGUGAAUGAAGAAGGCCUUCGGGUUGUAAAAUUCUGUCAAGAGGGAAGAAGACUCUUGCUUUAAUAGAGUAAGAGAUGACAGUACCGAUAGAGGAAGCUCCGGCUAACUACGUGCCAGCAGCCGCGGUAAUACGUAGGGAGCAAGCGUUGUCCGGAAUUACUGGGCGUAAAGGGCGUGUAGGCGGCUAAGUAAGUUGAAAGUGAAACCCAUGGGCUCAACCCAUGGCCUGCUUUCAAAACUGCAUAGCUUGAGGAUAAGAGAGGAAAGUGGAAUUCCUAGUGUAGCGGUGAAAUGCGUAGAUAUUAGGAGGAACACCAGUGGCGAAGGCGACUUUCUGGCUUAUCACUGACGCUGAGGCGCGAAAGCGUGGGGAGCAAACAGG
RNAcentral lists this ribosomal RNA (428 nucleotides) under uncultured bacterium. RNAcentral describes it as "bacterial SSU rRNA". It matches the Rfam family "Bacterial small subunit ribosomal RNA", at positions 355 to 776 of the family's 1533-position model. The record is from RNAcentral.